RNAcentral lists this ribosomal RNA (769 nucleotides) under uncultured bacterium. RNAcentral's name for it is "bacterial SSU rRNA". It matches the Rfam family "Bacterial small subunit ribosomal RNA", at positions 8 to 796 of the family's 1533-position model. The record is from RNAcentral.
AGAGUUUGAUCCUGGCUCAGAAUGAACGCUGGCGGCGUGCCUAACACAUGCAAGUCGGAUGUGCCGCAAGGUGCAUGGCAGACGGGUGAGUAACGCGUAGGGAAUCUACCUUUUUGUGGGGAAUAACGCUCCGAAAGGAGUGGUAAUACCGCAUGAGACCGUGGCCUGGGAUGGUUACGGUGAAACCUGGGGACCGCAAGGCCUGGGGCAAAGAGAGGAUCCUGCGUCUGAUUAGCUAGUUGGCGGGGUAAUGGCCCACCAAGGCGACGAUCAGUAGCCGGCCUGAGAGGGUGAUCGGCCACACUGGAACUGAGACACGGUCCAGACUCCUACGGGAGGCAGCAGUGGGGAAUUUUGCGCAAUGGGGGAAACCCUGACGCAGCGACGCCGCGUGGAGGAUGAAGGUCUUCGGAUUGUAAACUCCUUUUGUCGGGGAAGAUAAUGACGGUACCCGGCGAAUAAGCCACGGCUAACUCUGUGCCAGCAGCCGCGGUAAGACAGAGGUGGCAAGCGUUGUUCGGAAUUACUGGGCUUAAAGGGCGCGUAGGCGGUGGAGUAAGUCUGAGGUGGAAGAUUAGGGCUUAACCCUAAAAUUGCCUUGGAAACUGCAUCACUUGAGUCAGCGAGGGGAUGGCGGAAUUCCAGGUGUAGCGGUGAAAUGCGUAGAUAUCUGGAGGAAGGCCGGUGGCGAAGGCGGCCAUCUGGCGCUGAACUGACGCUGAGGCGCGAAAGCGUGGGGAGCAAACAGGAUUAGAUACCCUGGUAGUCC